AUUGUAUAUUUAUUUAUAUGUAUAUUUUGCCUUACGUUCCUUUCCAAGAAAAUGCUCUGUGACCCUGUCGUACCAACUAGGCUCGAUGUUGUUUUU
This is a long non-coding RNA of Etheostoma spectabile (orangethroat darter), 96 nucleotides long. RefSeq lists it as uncharacterized. Lineage: Eukaryota; Metazoa; Chordata; Actinopteri; Perciformes; Percidae. The record is from RefSeq and is a predicted model, not a curated record. The transcript has 3 exons.